This is a long non-coding RNA of Fundulus heteroclitus (mummichog), 358 nucleotides long. RefSeq lists it as uncharacterized. The record is from RefSeq and is a predicted model, not a curated record. NCBI's taxonomy places the organism in Eukaryota, Metazoa, Chordata, Actinopteri, Cyprinodontiformes, Fundulidae. The transcript is spliced from 3 exons.
UAUGAUGCCUGCACUAACUACCACUCCUGGAACUGUCAUACUGGCAACUGCGGCUCUGUAACCAGAAGACAAAUUUUUAAAAUCGACUCUAGCACCAACACACCAUCCUAUGAAACCCAGUGGUGCGAGACGGAAAAUGUUGAAACAUGGCGAGUCCCCAGCGACAAACCAUUUCUGCUGAGGGCAUCUAGCUGCUGCUGGAUCACAACACGUAACUCAGUAAGUAACUGGAGGUUGGAGUCCCUUGUGGAUUUGGGAACAAGAUCAGACACCAGAGAACCCAACAGAUCUCCAGCUAUUGCUGUUCUUCCCUUCAUCAGAGUUCCUCAGAACUGCCCAAGAACAUACAAUCUGGCUG